AUGUAGCCAAGUGGAUUAAGGCAAU
RNAcentral lists this transfer RNA (25 nucleotides) under Ulmus americana (American elm). RNAcentral's name for it is "partial tRNA-His". Lineage: Eukaryota; Viridiplantae; Streptophyta; Magnoliopsida; Rosales; Ulmaceae. The record is from RNAcentral. RNAcentral also lists the same sequence under 8 other names.